This 450-nucleotide ribosomal RNA is filed under the name uncultured bacterium. RNAcentral's name for it is "bacterial SSU rRNA". It matches the Rfam family "Bacterial small subunit ribosomal RNA", at positions 329 to 795 of the family's 1533-position model. The record is from RNAcentral.
GGCCAGACUCCUACGGGAGGCAGCAGUGGGGAAUAUUGCACAAUGGGGGGAACCCUGAUGCAGCGACGCCGCGUGAAGGAAGAAGUAUCUCGGUAUGUAAACUUCUAUCAGCAGGGAAGAAAGAGGACGGUACCUGACUAAGAAGCCCCGGCUAACUACGUGCCAGCAGCCGCGGUAAUACGUAGGGGGCGAGCGUUAUCCGGAUUUACUGGGUGUAAAGGGAGCGUAGACGGCAGCGCAAGUCUGAAGUGAAAUGCCGGGGCUUAACCCCGGAACUGCUUUGGAAACUGUGCAGCUAGAGUGCAGGAGAGGUAAGUGGAAUUCCUAGUGUAGCGGUGAAAUGCGUAGAUAUUAGGAGGAACACCAGUGGCGAAGGCGGCUUACUGGACGGUAACUGACGUUGAGGCUCGAAAGCGUGGGGAGCAAACAGGAUUAGAUACCCCGGUAAAC